RNAcentral lists this unclassified non-coding RNA (194 nucleotides) under uncultured fungus. Its description in RNAcentral is "sequence contains ITS1". Lineage: Eukaryota; Fungi. The record is from RNAcentral.
UUAACUAUUAUAUAGUACUCAGACAUCACUAGACAAACGAGUUUGGGUCCUCUGGCAGGCGCGGUCAGCAUGAGCCGACGCCCGAAGGCGGCCUGCCAAAGCAACGAAGGUAUAUAUACACGGUUUGGGAAUAGAACCCAUUUCAAAAAACGGGGCAUUCUUUAAUGAUCCUUCCGCAGGUUCACCUACGGAGA